AUGGCCGUUGCUGCUCUAUAUAACUCCUUCCUAACCGUCGGGAGGAUUACUCGACCGGAAUCGGCGAUCCCGAUCCAUCUUCUUCCCAGAUCUGCAUUCUCCCUCAUCGGGCGGCCUGAACUGUUGGACCGAUCAAUGGGGAGGUCUCCCUGCUGCGACAAGGCGAGCGUGAAGCGAGGGCCGUGGUCGCGGGAGGAGGACGCCAUCCUCAGGAACUUCGUCCAGAGGUUCGCCAAUGCCGGCAACUGGAUCACGCUGCCACAGAAAGCAGGGCUUAACCGAUGUGGUAAGAGCUGCCGGCUGCGGUGGCUCAACUACCUCCGCCCCGCGCUCCGGCAUGGCGGCUUCACCGAGGAGGAGGACAGCCUCAUAUUGUCCCUCUACGGCGACAUCGGAAGCAGGUGGUCGGUCAUCGCGGCCAAGCUCCCCGGCCGAACAGACAACGAUGUCAAGAACCACUGGAACACCAAGCUCAAGAAGAGGUACUACUCGCUGACCGCGGCGCCAUCAACUCCCCCUACAGGCGGCGACGCCAUCGCGUCCGCGGACAGCCCUCACGGGGUCGACCAAUCGUCCCUCCCCCCUCCUGCUCCUGCCCUGGUAAAUCUCGACGCGGCCCUCGCCACGGUCGACGACGGCGGAGAGCUCACGCACGAAUCGGAGCAGCUGUACGCCGAGCUCAUGGGGCUCAUCGAGCCGCAGUCCACGACCCAUACGUCCACCGGGGAGGUGAUGUCGUCGCCGUCAUCGUCAUCGCAGCCACCGUUUGGAGCAAGUCCGACCGUCAGUAGUUUUGCAGCGGGGAGCAGCGCUACGUGGCCAGUGGACGUGCAUGACACAAUACUGUGGCCGGAGUCUAGCGGGAACGGCAUGGUUGAAUUUGACGAUCCAUGCGUUGCUCAGGCUUUCGGUCCGCCGUCCAUGUCACACCUGCUACGAUGUAGCGGUGGACUAGCAAGGAGAAGGAGUAGCACAGGAGAGUUGUGGGCUGAGCCCACUGGGUCUGGCUUGGGCCGCAUGUGGCCAAGCCGUCCGUCGUGUGUGUGUGCCUGUACUUAUGGAACCGUCCUCUGUUGGACAAGGAGCGAAGGAAAAGUUUGA
RNAcentral lists this ribosomal RNA (1101 nucleotides) under Triticum aestivum (bread wheat). Its description in RNAcentral is "partial small subunit ribosomal RNA". The record is from RNAcentral. Lineage: Eukaryota; Viridiplantae; Streptophyta; Magnoliopsida; Poales; Poaceae.